AGCCCUCCCUGGGCAAAGAGACACCUUGUUGGUGGUAGUGUUCUUAUAUCAGUCACAGGCAGAGGAGAUAGCAACCCCUUGUUCAUCCUAUCUUAAUACCUAGCCUGGUGGCCAAAGCUUUUUUAUGGCUAGAACUUAUAA
This is a small nucleolar RNA of Acomys russatus (golden spiny mouse), 141 nucleotides long. RefSeq annotates it as small nucleolar RNA SNORA48. The record is from RefSeq and is a predicted model, not a curated record. Lineage: Eukaryota; Metazoa; Chordata; Mammalia; Rodentia; Muridae. The transcript has a single exon.